This 494-nucleotide ribosomal RNA is filed under the name uncultured bacterium. RNAcentral's name for it is "partial 16S ribosomal RNA". It matches the Rfam family "Bacterial small subunit ribosomal RNA", at positions 28 to 507 of the family's 1533-position model. The record is from RNAcentral.
GACGAACGCUGGCGGCGUGCUUAACACAUGCAAGUCGAACGGAAAGGCCUGCUUUCCCUUGUGGAUUGCGGGUACUCGAGUGGCGAACGGGUGAGUAACACGUGAGUGAUCUGCCCCCAACUUGGGUAUAAGCCUGGGAAACUGGGUCUAAUUCCCGAUAGGACUGCAGGGUGGUGCCUGUGGUGGAAAACGAUUUUCUAGUGGUUGGGGAUGAGCUCGCGGCCUAUCAGCUUGUUGGUGGGGUAAUGGCCUACCAAGGCGGCGACGGGUAGCCGGCCUGGGAGGGUGGACGGCCACAUUGGGACUGAGAUCCGGCCCAGACUCCUACGGGCGGCAGCAGUGGGGCAUAUUGCACAAUGGGCGGAAGCCUGAUGCAGCGACGCCGCGUGGGGGAUGACGGCCUUCGGGUUGUAAGCUCCUUUCGACCGCGAGGAAGCCACCUGGUUGGAAGGGUGGUGACGGUAGUGGUAGAAGAAGCACCGGCUAACUACGUG